GGUAAGGUUCACGAUUCAUAGUUCAAAGUGAAAAGGACGUUAGCCAGAAUAGACAGGUACGUAACAGUGAAAAUAAAAUUACGUACUAUUGCGUUACUUUCAAUUUAUAUUAACCUUAUAUCUUUUUACUUUAGAUAUUAAUUAUCAACAAGAAUGGCGCAAAAAAAUAGAAACUAUGAGGACAUGCUCCUUGACGACGCCGCCCCUGCCAACAUCGGCCUUCUCGCAGCCGCCCCUGCCACCCGUGUUGCCCCAAACGCCACCGCAGGCAGGGCCUACACUGCCGCAAUCAGAGGCACGGCCACCGCCGCCGCAGCCCCAAGAACAGCCCCCGCCACCCUCCGCCAACAAACGAACACGUAGCUCGCUAUGCUAGGAGCGGAAGAAGUAAGCGGGCCGAGCUUAUGCGGUGGUCUAUGUUAAAGGCCCUUCGUACGCAGAGCUCGGCCUUAAGGUGAGGUCCCAUGAAGGUAAGUUCGGGCGGCGAGCACGAGCAACGUCCACUUGAAACUGUCAACUCUUCGCGCAGGAGGGUCUGAUGGAUCCAGGCGAACUGGCACAACGAGCGGCGAACACCUAAACGAGCACGGAAUCCCGAAAAAGACCAGACACCAGCAUCGCAACGAGCGGUCGACAAGGGGACGUGUCAUAAAGAAUUGAAAAUACCAACCUCGACAAUUUUCAUCGGAUUCCUGAUGCUUCUACGAUCAAAAUGAUAUCUCACAUCGCGUAAAUCGGACUAUUUUUAACGAAAUUAUAUGCAAAAUCUUAUUGCAUGAUUGAAAAGUUAUUUUGUUAAAAAUAGUUCGAUUUAUGCGACGUGAGAUAUCAUUUUAAUCAGGAGAACGCCAAGAAUCUAACGGCAUCGCGUUCACGUUGAUACGAUGAAG
Molecule: long non-coding RNA, 890 nt
Organism: Hylaeus anthracinus
Lineage: Eukaryota; Metazoa; Arthropoda; Insecta; Hymenoptera; Colletidae
Exons: 4
Source: RefSeq, a predicted model, not a curated record